GCAACUCGCCUGCAUGAAGUCGGAAUUGCUAGUAAUCGCAGAUCAGCAUGCUGUGGUGAAUACGUUCCCGGGCCUUGUACACACCGCCCGUCACACCAUGGGAGUCGGUAACACCCAAAGUUGGUAGUCUAACCGCAAGGAGGACGCCGCCUAAGGUGGGAUUGAUGACUGGGGUGAAGUCGUAACAAGGUAGC
RNAcentral lists this ribosomal RNA (194 nucleotides) under uncultured bacterium. RNAcentral describes it as "partial 16S ribosomal RNA". It matches the Rfam family "Bacterial small subunit ribosomal RNA", at positions 1307 to 1500 of the family's 1533-position model. The record is from RNAcentral.